CGACAGCAAUAUGAAGGUCAGGCUGAAGACCUUACCGGAUUAGCUGAGAGGUGGUGCAUGGCCGUCGUCAGUUCGUACUGUGAAGCAUCCUGUUAUAUCAGGCAACGAGCGAGACCCACGUCCACAGUUGCCAGCAUACCCUCCGGGGUGAUGGGUACACUGUGGAGACCGCCGCUGCUAAAGCGGAGGAAGGAAUGGGCAACGGUAGGUCAGUAUGCCCCGAAUCUCCCGGGCUACACGCGGGCCACAAUGGUUGGUACAAUGGGCAUCUACCCCGAAAGGGGAAGGAAAUCUCUUAAAGCCAAUCGUAGUUCGGAUUGAGGGCUGCAACUCGCCCUCAUGAAGCUGGAAUCCGUAGUAAUCGCGUUUCAACAGAACGCGGUGAAUACGUCCCUGCUCCUUGCACACACCGCCCGUCAAACCACCCGAGUAGGGUCUGGAUGAGGGUGUGUUACCUUGACACUAUUCGAAUCUG
This 475-nucleotide ribosomal RNA is filed under the name uncultured Methanotrichaceae archaeon. Its description in RNAcentral is "bacterial SSU rRNA". It matches the Rfam family "Archaeal small subunit ribosomal RNA", at positions 937 to 1411 of the family's 1478-position model. Lineage: Archaea; Methanobacteriati; Methanobacteriota; Methanomicrobia; Methanotrichales; Methanotrichaceae. The record is from RNAcentral.